UGUUCACACUUGCUCGUGUCGGAUAUCAUGCUCGAGUUUACAUCAAAGGUCAGCUAUUGUUUGAGUACACACAACCAGAUAUUCCUUGUGAGGAUGUUAAAGCCUGUUACAUCAUCAAAGGAGAAACACUGCAUGAAACCUGUCCAUUAUAUUUUAAAAGAAAGACUUUUUUUGCUCCUCAGGGAGAAUAUCAGAUUUACGUGGAUGUGAACAUUGUUGAUGAUGUUGAAAGAAGGCUGACAUUACGUUUCAACAUUACUGUACAAAUAGAAAGGACUGGUAGUUAGAAUGCAAUUUUUCAAGGAGGAUUGUAGAACAAGAAAAUCCCAUUUACAACAUGAUAAAAAAAAAAAAAUGUCUUGAGCAACAAAUCAGCAUAUCAGAAUUAUUUCUGAAGGAUCAUGUGACACUGAAGACUGGAGUAAUGAUGCUGAAAAUUCAGCUUUGAUCACAGG
Molecule: long non-coding RNA, 455 nt
Organism: Megalobrama amblycephala (Wuchang bream)
Lineage: Eukaryota; Metazoa; Chordata; Actinopteri; Cypriniformes; Xenocyprididae
Exons: 3
Source: RefSeq, a predicted model, not a curated record